Molecule: ribosomal RNA, 270 nt
Filed under: uncultured archaeon
Lineage: Archaea
Description: partial 16S ribosomal RNA
Rfam family: Archaeal small subunit ribosomal RNA
Source: RNAcentral
CAGCGCCACGAGUGGGAAUCACAUUUAUUGGGCCUAAAGCAUCCGUAGCCGGUUCUACAAGUCUUCCGUUAAAUCCACCUGCUUAACAGAUGGGCCGCGGAGGAUACUAUAAAACUAGGAGGCAGGAGAGGCAAGCGGUACUCAGUGGGUAGGGGUAAAAUCCGUUGAUCCAUUGAAGACCACCAGUGGCGAAGGCGGCUUGCCAGAAUGCGCUCGACGGUGAGGGAUGAAAGCUGGGGGAGCAAACCGGAUUAGAUACCCGAGUAGUCC